UGCCAGCCGCCGCGGUAAUACGGAGGGUGCAAGCGUUAAUCGGAAUCACUGGGCGUAAAGGGCGCGUAGGUGGCUAGAUAAGUCGGGUGUGAAAGCCCCGGGCUCAACCCGGGAAUUGCAUUCGACACUGUCUGGCUAGAGUGUGGUAGAGGGAAGUGGAAUUCCGGGUGUAGCGGUGAAACGCGUAGAUAUCCGGAGGAACAUCAGUGGCGAAGGCGGCUUCCUGGACCAACACUGACACUGAGGCGCGAAAGCGUGGGGAGCAAACAGGAUUAGAUA
Molecule: ribosomal RNA, 279 nt
Filed under: uncultured bacterium
Lineage: Bacteria
Description: partial 16S ribosomal RNA
Rfam family: Bacterial small subunit ribosomal RNA
Source: RNAcentral